Molecule: long non-coding RNA, 3133 nt
Organism: Agelaius phoeniceus (red-winged blackbird)
Lineage: Eukaryota; Metazoa; Chordata; Aves; Passeriformes; Icteridae
Source: RefSeq, a predicted model, not a curated record
AACACCCAGCCCAGGCACACCAGAGCUGCUCCCUGGAAGAAAAGGGCAGACACAACUGGAAGUGCUAAGCAGAAGUUGCUCAGCAGGAUCAGGCAAGAUCAAACCACUUCAACAUUUAGGCCAAAAGCUAAUGUAAUUUAAGGUCCCUUGAAAUGUUAUGAAUACCAUCAACAAACACGGCGAGAGUCACUCAUGAAAAUGCAUUUCAGCUUUGUGCACAAAAAAUCAAUCAGCUCUCUGUCUCAGACUUCUUCAAAGACUGUGAACCCAAUUGUUUGUUCCCUGAGGACCCAGGGCUUUCACUGCAACUAACACAUCUGCUUAGUGUUUCCUAUUUUUCAGCAUCACAAGGAGUUUUUCUUAGACCUUGGAUGGUUUGCUCAGCACCUAUGGGCCAGUGAUCUCCUGAACCCCUCUGGAGAUGCUCUGCAGAGCUGAGGACAAUGCACAGAGCAGGGACCCUCCUGGCAGAAAGGCACCCUUGGGAUGUCUUCCAAAUUCAGAAAUGGCCAUUCAGUUUACAGUGCCUGUCUGGGAAAGCUGCACUGCCUAAGGGAACAGCAAGCUGCCUUCUCAUGGCAUCAAACAGCAGAGAUGUGAACUAAUUAAGGGCACCUUUGGAUCAGCCUGCGAACACAGGGCUGGUUCCACCCCAAAGAGCAGAAACCUGGAUGCAAAUACCUGCGGUGUCCCAGGCAAGCAGGGCUGCAGAGCCACAUUUCCCUCUGCAAGCUCAUUUCUAACCUGGGCAGACACAAGCUCCAGGCCCAGCUCUGCAUUCCUUCCACACCCAGGGCUGGAGCUGUGCCUGCAGAAGGAAUGCAAGAGAGAAAUGAGUUUCUUAUCGGCCUGGCAGAUCUUGUUGGGUGAUGUAGAUGCCUGUGGAGCUGCCAGGACUCCAGUGUGGGACAUGGCAUGCAGCCUAGCUCCAGAGCUCCAGACUGCAAGCCAGGGCACUUGGAGUAAGGUUAAACUGCUUUCUAAAGCACAAGAAACUGCUCCUGACUCAGGGAUACCUGGAGAUAUCUCUGCUAGAAAAAAUUGUCAUCAAAGGAAAAGUGAAGAUCCCAGAUUUGUACAAGAAUGAGUAAAAAAGGGAAUAAAUUGUGCAUUUCCAGACUCAGGGGCAUUUGAAAGUCUGGCUAUGGGAAAAUAGAUUUAAUCAUCAUGACUCUCCCAGAGGGGUAUCCUCAACACACAAAUAAGGACAGGAGGUUUCUCAGGACAGCCCUGUGUGUCCAUUCCCUCCCAAGUCAUGGGCAGCACCAUGCAUACAGCUGCAUAUGGCAAAUCUUUCCAUCCCUCCAGAGACCCAAACUUCACCUUGGCUGCUGGUGAGAUAAAGCAGUCAUGGCUCUUUCAGUUCCACAGCCAGCAGUAUUUCAAAAUGUGCGGGGACAAAGACCUCCCAAAUGCAUGAAGCACAAAGAGCUGUGGGAACAAGGCUCUUGAUGUCUGGGCUGUGGCCUCUGGGAAAUUUUGCCAGGGCUGGGACCCUCCUGGAUGUUCCUCUCAUUACUCUCCCCAAACAGAAUGCAAACCUGCAGGAUAAGGAUGUCAUGCUGUGGUCAGGAAUGUCAAAAGGACAUGUUAAGAAACAACUGUGACUGGAAAUAUUUUCCAAAGCAUGUUGCAAGUGGAGCUCACACAUCCACCCCACUGCAGGAGACUGAAACACAAAGUGAAGCUCCCAAAGCUCCAGCUGACCAGAGAUCCCACACAAGAACCUCUCAGGGCAGGGUUACCGCUUUCCUUCUCAGUUCUUUAUGCAGUUGGUCAGGAUUUGUAUUUUCCUGUGCACAUUGUUAAAGGAAAGUCUGGAAGGAGGCAGAGGAAGAUCUCUUGCACAGCUGAACAUGCUUGUGAGGAGAGGCAUGAGGGAACUGGCACACAUGAAAGUGAGAGCAAAACCAGAUGGGCAGAUGGAAUUGCCUGAGCCAACGACUCGAGCACCCUGGGUCUUAUUUGUGUCAGAAAGAACUGUGCUGAGAUGCAAGCAGAAGUGGGUUUCACACCAGGUCUUCAAAAUGCCUGGGGCUUGGAGCCCUGCAAAGGGCAGUGGUGGAACACCAUGAGUGUCACAGCUGGGGCACAAAGCAAGGAGAUGCAAAUCCAUGGAUCUGUACAGGUGAGUACAUGACUGUACAGUCAUUGUAACUCCAACUCUUGGCUUGAUUUCCCUGGCAUUUGGGGGGGUAUGGUCACACCCACGGAGUGCCUGAAGAGCCCUGCCCAGCAAACGCCUCUCAGCUGUCCUGCUGCUCCCUGGGGCUGUGCAGGCUGCCCAGGCAGGGCCUGUGUGCCAGCCUCAGGAGCUCCUGCAGCCCAGGGCAGAGCUGGGACACUGCUGUUCCUGCAGCCCAGGACAGUGCUGGGACACUGCUGUCCCUGCAGCCCAGGACAGAGCUGGGACACUGCUGGCCCUGCAGCCCUGGCCCCAGUGCUGGGACACUGCUGUUCCUGCAGGCCAGGACAGAGCUGGGACACUGCUGUUCCUGCAGGCCAGGACAGAGCUGGGACACUGCUGUUCCUGCAGCCCAGGACAGUGCUGGGACACUGCUGUUCCUGCAGCCCAGGACAGUGCUGGGACACUGCUGUCCCUGCAGCCCAGGACAGAGCUGGGACACUGCUGGCCCUGCAGCCCUGGCCCCAGUGCUGGGACACUGCUGUUCCUGCAGCCCAGGACAGAGCUGGGACACUGCUGUUCCUGCAGCUCAGGACAGUGCUGGGACACUGCUGUUCCUGCAGCCCUGACCCCAGGGCUGGGACACUGCUGUUCCUGCAGCCCAGGACAGAGCUGGGACACUGCUGGCCCUGCAGCUCAGGACAGUGCUGGGACACUGCUGGCCCUGGCCCCAGUGCUGGGACACUGCUGUUCCUGCAUCCCAGGACAGAGCUGGGACACUGCUGUCCCUGCAUCCCAGGACAGAGCUGGAACACUGCUGUCCCUGCAGCCCAGGACAGAGCUGGGACACUGCUGUUCCUGCAGCCCUGACCCCAGAGCUGGGACACUGCUGUUCCUGCAGCCCUGACCCCAGUGCUGGAACACUGCUGGCCCUGCAGCCCAGGACAGUGCUGGGACACUGCUGUUCCUGCAGCCCAGAACAGAGCUGGGACACUGCUGGCCCUGCAG